This 1961-nucleotide long non-coding RNA is filed under the name Fragaria vesca (wild strawberry). RNAcentral describes it as "long non-coding RNA (FVES_LNC001827)". The record is from RNAcentral. Lineage: Eukaryota; Viridiplantae; Streptophyta; Magnoliopsida; Rosales; Rosaceae.
UCAUUACAUCAAGCUAGUAAGAUGACCAAACAGAAUUUAAAGCACAUUGAAGUUAGUUACCUAUGCUACAACAGACACUAAAUUUAGGCUAGUUAUGUUUCUUUCAAUAUGCUUCUCCAAAGAGUUCUCCCUUGAAGCCUUUGGUUGAUCACUGCUCCUACUUGUUCUUUGUAACCGCAACCUUGCACAAUAGUAAAACAAAUCAUAUUUGGCUUAUAAAGAUAUGCCAAUCUCAAUCCAGAGCAUAUGAAGCCUAAAGUUACCAACAGAUACAAUAUGAUUAAUUGCUUGCAAGAAAGAGAACAGUACGCCAUCAUCAAAGCCUAAAGCUGCUAGUGGCCAUUGAUUCCACUUGUUCUCUCUUAUAGUGGUCAUUUGAGAAGCUCAAUCAAUGCAGGGGUGGCCACAAACUAAAUUAGGGCUUUAAAGGCCACGAAAUAAAAGAGCUUAAAAGAAAGAGAUGAUGACCUUCAAUCCAUUACCAAGGACUACAAAAGGGUCAAUUUUUAUAUCUGACAUAACCACAUAGAUUGACCCAACUUGUUUUUUAUUACUAUAAAAAGGCACACCCUUCUGUAUAUUGAACUAUUCAAAGUAAACCCAUAUGCUUUGCUCUGUCUUAAUGCAGAUGUUAACCAAUUUUCUAGUGUAUCAGGCAAAAGGAUGCAGCUCAUAUAUGCUAUGUCACUAUGUGUAAUCGAUAACAAAAAGACCAAAGUGUUCUGCUAUAAUGAAUUAUCCUAACAAAAUUGCUUUGGGAAUAAAGGUAAACCAUCAAAAUCUAUCAAACCGAAGCUAAACUAUAUAUAUCCAUGGACCUAUUUAGCCAGCCAUAAUAUAAUCAACAUCAGGAGUCUCAAUCUGCAGGAGUACAUUAUCUAUAAGCAGUAAAAUGAACACGUGACUAGCAAAUUUAAGUAUUACCUUCAAGAAUCAACAUGAGGAUUCUGAAGCAAAUAUGCAGCAUUGAGUAGCCUCCUCAUUCGAAAUAUCAAUUGCGCACAACUCCCGGAUCUCCUUCAGCCUUCAUCUGCUCCUUGUGAAACCUGCACACAAAUCCCCACUCAAGCAUUAACACAAACACCUUCUGGGCACUAAUCUUUUUCGAAACUCACCUCAUACUCAUCACUGAUCUUCUUAAACGUCGCCUUCCCUGAAUCAAGCAGCUCCGAAAUCUACGAAAAACCUCCACCUUCAUGCGUAUUCUGUUCGAUUUGAAAGUGAAUCCAUAAUAACACAGUGCCCAAUACAAAUCACCAAGACUAAAACUUCGAAAACUCACCGAAAGCAAAAGGAGUAAUGAGACAAACCCUCUUCUUCUUGGGUGGUCUGGCCUCGAUAUCUUAGUCGAUUCGGCGGGGGUCGCCGGCUGAGUGGACUCGCUGGCCGAGUUUGAAGUAUAUAUGGGGUUGAUCCCGGUGAGGGUUGCAUUUUCUGAAAGAUGAUCGGUUGUUUGAGAUGUGAAUGGAGAAAACUAAGCGGGACUGUAUCUUUGUUCUGGGCUGGAGUGAUUUGGGUGAAGAAGACGAGGGUGAAGAAUGAAGGAUAAAGAGGGAGAUAAAUGACGAGUAGACGAGGUAUUCCAGAUUUAAGUUGUUUUGUUUUCGGUGGGAUCUUUAUUAAUUUUCUUUCGUUACAAAAAGUGUGGGAAGUUUAAGUGUGGGUAAAAAAAUUGAGCGGGAGCCGAAAAAGAAAAUUUGAGUUUGUGGUGUAGUCAGCUUACAUCAAUUACGGCGUGUAACUAUUGCAUACAAUAAAUAUCUUAUACUUAUUAACAGCGUGCCGUAAAUAACUCAAGACACAAUCUCAUUUACGGUGCACUUCCGAAGCACGUCGUAAAUAACUCUACAUAAUAUUAUAUUUACGGCAUGUUAUAAAUGCACGCUGUAAAUGACCCAUUUUUACAGCACGCAUUGAUGCACGCCGUAAAUUUUAGACGGUAAAAAUCCUAAAUUCUUAUA